CUAAGGAGGGGGAUAACCCCGGGAAACUGGGGAUAAUACCCCAUAGACUAGAGAAGCUGGAAUGCUCUCAAGUCCAAAGGUCCGCCGCCUUAGGAUGGGUCUGCGGUCGAUUAGGUUGUUGUUGGGGUAACGGCCCAACAAGCCCGUGAUCGAUACGGGUUGUGAGAGCAAGAGCCCGGAGAUGGAUUCUGAGACACGAAUCCAGGCCCUACGGGGCGCAGCAGGCGCGAAAACUUUACAAUGCGGGAAACCGUGAUAAGGGAACCCCGAGUGCCCGUAAAUUCGGGCUGUCCAUCAGCGUAAAUAACUGGUGAAGAAAGGGCCGGGCAAGACCGGUGCCAGCCGCCGCGGUAAUACCGGCGGCUCGAGUGGUGGCCACUAUUACUGGGCUUAAAGCGUCCGUAGCUUGGUUGUUAAGUCUCUUGGGAAAUCUACCGGCUUAACCGGUAGGCGUUCAGGAGAAACUGGCAAUCUAGGGACCGGGAGAGGUGAGAGGUACUCCAGGGGUAGGAGUGAAAUCCUGUAAUCCUUGGGGGACCACCUGUGGCGAAGGCGUCUCACUAGAACGGCUCCGACAGUGAGGGACGAAAGCUGGGGGAGCAAACCGGAUUAGAUACCCGGGUAGUCCCAGCUGUAAACGAUGCGCGUUAGGUGUAUCGGUGACCACGAUUCACCGAGGUGCCGAAGGGAAACCGUGAAACGUGCCGCC
RNAcentral lists this ribosomal RNA (709 nucleotides) under uncultured archaeon. RNAcentral's name for it is "bacterial SSU rRNA". It matches the Rfam family "Archaeal small subunit ribosomal RNA", at positions 114 to 828 of the family's 1478-position model. The record is from RNAcentral.